AGCAGCCGCGGUAAUUCCAGCUCCAAUAGCGUAUAUUAAAGUUGUUGCAGUUAAAAAGCUCGUAGUUGAAUUUCGGGGUUCUACCGUUGGUCAGGCUAUUGUCUGUACUGGCGUGUAGAAUUUCUACCUUCUGGGGAACUAUCAUGUUAUUAAUUUAGCGUGGUAGGAAACCAGGACCUUUACCUUGAAAAAAUUAGAGUGUUCAAAGCAGGCUUAUGUCUGAAUACAUUAGCAUGGAAUAAUAAAAUAGGACGGUGGUCCUGUUUUGUUGGUUUCUGAAUCACCGUAAUGAUUAAUAGGGAUAGUUGGGGGCAUUAGUAUUCAAUUGUCAGAGGUGAAAUUCUUGGAUUUAUUGAAGACUAACUACUGCGAAAGCAAUUUGCCAAGGAUGUUUCAUUAAUCAAGAACGAAAGUUAGGGAUCGAAGACGAUCAGAUACCGUCGUAGUCUUAACCAUAAACUAUCGCCGAUAGGGAUCGGACGAUGUUAACUUUUCUUGACUCGUUCGGCGUCCUUACGGG
This 520-nucleotide ribosomal RNA is filed under the name uncultured Scutellospora. RNAcentral describes it as "SSU rRNA". It matches the Rfam family "Eukaryotic small subunit ribosomal RNA", at positions 569 to 1094 of the family's 1831-position model. Lineage: Eukaryota; Fungi; Glomeromycota; Glomeromycetes; Diversisporales; Gigasporaceae. The record is from RNAcentral.